RNAcentral lists this ribosomal RNA (506 nucleotides) under uncultured bacterium. RNAcentral describes it as "partial 16S ribosomal RNA". It matches the Rfam family "Bacterial small subunit ribosomal RNA", at positions 29 to 523 of the family's 1533-position model. The record is from RNAcentral.
AGUGAACGCUGGCGGUAGGCCUAACACAUGCAAGUCGAACGGCAGCACAGGAGAGCUUGCUCUCUGGGUGGCGAGUGGCGGACGGGUGAGGAAUACAUCGGAAUCUACUCUGUCGUGGGGGAUAACGUAGGGAAACUUACGCUAAUACCGCAUACGACCUACGGGUGAAAGCAGGGGACCUUCGGGCCUUGCGCGAUUGAAUGAGCCGAUGUCGGAUUAGCUAGUUGGCGGGGUAAAGGCCCACCAAGGCGACGAUCCGUAGCUGGUUUGAAAGGAUGGUCAGGCACAAUGGAACUGAGACACGGUCCAGACUCCGACGGGAGGCAGCAGUGGGGAAUAUUGGACAAUGGGAGCAAGCCUGAUCCAGCCAUACCGCGUGGGUGAAGAAGGCCUUCGGGUUGUAAAGCCCUUUUGUUGGGAAAGAAAUCCAGCUGGCUAAUACCCGGUUGGGAUGACGGUACCCAAAGAAUAAGCACCGGCUAACUUCGUGCCAGCCGCCGCCGUAA